This 491-nucleotide ribosomal RNA is filed under the name uncultured bacterium. RNAcentral's name for it is "partial 16S ribosomal RNA". It matches the Rfam family "Bacterial small subunit ribosomal RNA", at positions 29 to 506 of the family's 1533-position model. The record is from RNAcentral.
AGUGAACGCUGGCGGUAGGCCUAACACAUGCAAGUCGAACGGCAGCACAGUAAGAGCUUGCUCUUACGGGUGGCGAGUGGCGGACGGGUGAGGAAUACCUCGGAAUCUACUUUUUCGUGGGGGAUGACGUAGGGAAAAUUACGCCAAUACCGCAUACGACCUACGGGUGAAAGCUGGGGAUCUUCGGACCUUGCGCGAUUGAAUGAGCCGAUGUCGGGUUAGCUGGUUGGCGGGGUAAAGGCCCACCAAGGCGACGUUCCGUAGCUGGUCUGAGAGGAUGAUAGGCCAAACUGGACCUGGAACACGGCCCGGACUCUAACGGGAGGAGGCAGGGGGAAAUAUUGAACAAGGGGCGCAGGCCGGACCCAGCAAUACCGGGGGGGUAAAGAAGGCCUUCGGGUUGUAAGGCCUUUUUGUUGGGAAAGAAAAGCAGCAGUUAAAUACCCGGCGGUUCGGAGGGUACCAAAAGAUUAAGCACCGGCAAACUUCUG